AACUCUUAACAAUGGAUAUCUUGGUUCUCGCAACGAUGAAGAACGCAGCGAAAUGCGAUACGUAGUGUGAAUUGCAGGGCUCAGUGAAUCAUCGAAAUUUUGAACGCAUAUUGCGCUUAUGGUCACCAUGAGCACGUCUGUUUGAGGAACGGUACCCA
This 158-nucleotide ribosomal RNA is filed under the name Rhodomonas sp. RCC4847. Its description in RNAcentral is "5.8S ribosomal RNA". It matches the Rfam family "5.8S ribosomal RNA". Rfam says of the family: 5.8S ribosomal RNA (5.8S rRNA) is a component of the large subunit of the eukaryotic ribosome. Lineage: Eukaryota; Cryptophyceae; Pyrenomonadales; Pyrenomonadaceae. The record is from RNAcentral. RNAcentral also lists the same sequence under 1 other name.